GUGCACCUUGCAGCACAUACACUAAAACUGAAAUGAAAUGGAAGAUUAGCAUGGCCCCUGCACAAGGAUGAAACACAAAUUUGUGAAAUAUUCCAUAUUGUU
Small nuclear RNA from Ochotona princeps (American pika), 102 nucleotides. NCBI's taxonomy places the organism in Eukaryota, Metazoa, Chordata, Mammalia, Lagomorpha, Ochotonidae. The record is from Ensembl.